GCCUCUGUGGUGCAAUGGGUCAAUGUGUCUGGAUGUUAACCAGAGGUUGAUGGUUCAGACCCACCCAGGGGUG
Non-coding RNA from Podarcis lilfordi (Lilford's wall lizard), 73 nucleotides. The record is from the annotation of a GenBank genome assembly. NCBI's taxonomy places the organism in Eukaryota, Metazoa, Chordata, Lepidosauria, Squamata, Lacertidae.